CCGUAACUAUAACGGUCCUAAGGUAGCGAAAUUCCUUGUCGGGUAAGUUCCGACCCGCACGAAAGGCGUAAUGAUUUGGGCACUGUCUCAACAGCCCGCCCGGCGAAAUUGUAGUACCGGUGAAGAUGCCGGUUACCCGCGACAAGACGGAAAGACCCCAUGGAGCUUUACUGUAGCCUAAUAUUGGGUUUCGGUGUUGCAUGCACAGGAUAGAUGGGACGCUAGGAAGUGAGUGCUUUGGCAUUCAUGGAGCGGCCGUUGGGAUACCAUCCUUGCGACAUUGGAAUUCUAACCUGCGCCUUUGAAUCAAGGCGGGGGACAUUGUUAGGUGGGCAGUUUGACUGGGGCGGUCGCCUCCUAAAGAGUAGCGGAGGCGUUCAAAGGUUGGCUCGUCCUGGACGGAAACCAGGAGAGAGAGUGCAAACGCAAAAGCCAGCCUGACUGCGAGACUGACGGGUCGAGCAGAGACGAAAGUCGGAGUUAGUGAUCCGGUGGUAUGUGAGUGGAAAUGCCAUCGCUCAACGGAUAAAAGUUACCCUGGGGAUAACAGGCUGAUCUCCCCCAAGAGUCCACAUCGACGGGGAGGUUUGGCACCUCGAUGUCGGCUCAUCGCAUCCUGGGGCUGUAUUCGGUCCCAAGGGUUUGGCUGUUCGCCAAUUAAAGCGGUACGCGAGCUGGGUUCAGAACGUCGUGAGACAGUUCGGUCCCUAUCUGUCGUGGGCGCAGGAUAUUUGAAAGGCGCUGUCCCUAGUACGAGAGGACCGGGAUGGACGCACCGCUGGCGCAUCGGUUGUCAUGCCAAUGGCACGGCCGAGCAACUAUGUGCGGUUUGGAUAAACGCUGAAAGCAUCUAAGCGUGAAGCCGGCUCCAAGAUGAGAUAUCCCACCGAGUUAAUCGGGUAAGACCCCUUGAAGACUACAAGGUUGAUAGGCUGCGUGUGUAAGCGUCGUGAGGCGUUGAGCUUGGCAGUACUAAUAGGUCGAGGGCUUGACCC
This 995-nucleotide ribosomal RNA is filed under the name human gut metagenome. RNAcentral's name for it is "bacterial LSU rRNA". It matches the Rfam family "Bacterial large subunit ribosomal RNA", at positions 1934 to 2925 of the family's 2925-position model. The record is from RNAcentral.